CCCUCUGGCCUUGCGCCUCUGGCCAGCAGCUCCAGUGGGAAGAACAGGCCCUCUUCCUGCUGAUUUCUCUUUUAUUGGGCUUUGAGUUCCCCAUACAGUCUUGAACUGCCCUGGUAUCCAGGGUGAUAAGAACAACACUAGCCAAUCCUGAGGUGUGUGUGUCCCUCCCCCAGGGACCAGUAUCUUCAGAAGCUCAAGGACUAGCGAGGGGAAGGCGUAGUCCACAGAGAGGGACAUGUUUGUAGGGAAAAACAACAGAUGUCCCUACUAGGAGCUGGGGGUGUGCAGUCCCAAGCUGCGCAGAGACAAACGCUGGCUCGGUUGGGUGUGGAUGCCCGGAUCGAGAUUCUCGGGACUAGGCUCAACAUAGGUUAAUAGGCUUUUAUUCGGGGAGAAGACACUUACAUAGGAAACAGAUGACUGCAGCAAGUCCCUGCUCCAAGGAUCCACACAGGCUGCUCUCUGUGACCUGACCGGAAGCAAGAGAGAGCCACCUGUCCUGACCCCAGACCUAAACCAUCACAUUACAUCUGCACCUGUGACCGCGCCCAUUUGGCAGCCUGGAUUCAGGGGUAGGAUGGCAGAGACCCUCCCCAGAAGGGGUGCCUACCCCUGACAGAUGUGCAGAGCUUGUUACCCUUCUGUAGGGGCAUCUUCAAAAUCCCCCAAACUGGCUCCCUAAGAGUAGCUGUUGCCAGAGAGCCCACACUGACAGAGCUUUGCUGUGGGAUGGCACCACCAGGAAAAGGAAAAAGACACAAUGUUUUAAUUGAGGCCAGCACUCUGUCUUUUGUGUUCACUGGGCCUAGCUUGGACCCAGUCUACAAGAAAUAUGCAUAUUGGGGGCAGGACUUGACAGAAAUGGCUCUUUUGAUCUGAUCUGGUCUUGGACUGGGUGACCUUCAUUCACUUAGUGACCAAGUCUCUCUGAGUCUCCAGGCUCCUCAUCUGUCAAGUGAGGAGGGUGGAGUGCCUGGUCCCCAAGGCCACAAUGGGCUCUAGCAUCCAUUAGAUAGUCUUCUCUAUGAAGGGGAUCCCGGCUCCAGCACCAAACCUCCCUCCCAUCCCUUGCUCCCUGGACUCCAGCUCUAGGCUGUGGGUCUCUCUCAGUGCCCUGGAAGGGGCCAUCCGGGCCUGGGCCAAGGGCAGAGGUGCCUUCAGCAUGGUAAUUACUGUAAGAGUGGAGUUUAAGCUCUUGGCUUUAUAGGGUAGAGUCCUCUGUCAGCAGAAAGCCGAGGUCUCCCCGAGUGAGAGCUAAUUUCCUCCGUGGCUCGUUUCCCUUCCCCGCCGUCAUUUUUCCUCAGCUGCUUUAUGGCUGUGGAGCCAUUUGGAGCAGCGGGCAGUGGCAGUAGCUUCAUGCCCAGCAAUAGGAAACCCCCUACAUGCCUGCAUUGGGACCCAAGGGUGGCUGGGGCCUCCCAUGGGCAGUGACCUUGUGAACUCUGCCAGCUCCAGCUGUUCCCUACCAGGCCCCUGGUACUUCCUGGACAGGCUUGCAAGGAAAGAAUGUAAUUAAAUGAUGGUCAGGUCAGUCCAUGCUGUCUUGAACGCCUUGAUUAGCAGCCAUAGACUUUGCCUUUGGCUCAAAGCGGCAAGACAAGGGGAGGGAACAAGCCGGGUGCCAUCGGUCUUGAGGUGGACACCCUCACAGGCACAGCAAAAUGGAGUCCCCCUCAGAGGCCAUAGUCUCCUGUAGAGACUGUACACCAGUAGCUUUUGAGAAAGUGCUGCCCGAACUCCAGGCAUCAGCGGAGUGUGACUGGGGUUGGUCAGAUCAGUGGUGCAGCUGGUAGAGUCGGGGCUGGACGUAAGCUCACUGAGCCUCUGUUGAGUCAAGCCUCAGAACCUCAGUUCUUUCAGAACUGCAGGAGGGUCCUGAAGAAGACCGAAAUGCACAGGCUAAGCACCGUGCACAGGAGGGCAUGUGGGGUUGCCUCUCCCCCCCCCCCCAGCUCUGUUGGCGGAGGCAGGGACAAAGUUGUCCUCUGGAUUCCAGCAGCAGAUUCUGCUCAGCCUUGAGUGAACAGUGGCCCCCUCUUAGCACACCUCCUUUCGGCCCUGGGUCCCUUUGAGACUUCAUUAUGUUAUUCUGUUGCCUAGCAAUGGACACCCAGGAUCCUACAAAUGUGGCAUGAGAUCAAAAGGGAGAGUCGGGAAUCAGGAGGGCAGCACUCUUCUGAAGGCCGUGGGUGGCAGAAGGCCUGCUGCCAGGCAAACGUCGCAAGGAGCACCAGAGAGGAGGGGAAGAUGGGCUUGGUGGUCAUUUCUCUGGACCAGAGAAAUGGUGGCUCUUUGGAGUUGAGUUAGCCCCGCGUCCAUUCAAGACUCACGAGUUCCAUAGAGCUCUUACAUGUGUCUCUUGGAGUUCUGACUUUUCCAGGAUCUAUGUUCUCCGAUGUGCAGGAUGAGGACCGGGAGGUAGGAACAAGUUUAGGAGGUACCCAGAAUGCCAUCAUGUAGCGGGGAGGUCACUCCUAUUGGAUUCUAACACUUUCGACUGACUGCCUUAGGAGUCUUGGUCUGGGCUGGCAUUUCUUUAAAGCCUUACAACACUUGCCCAUUUGGCAAAAAGAGAUCAGCCUCAGCCCAGCCCCGGCACGUUCUGCAGCGCCAGGCAUUUGCUCGGAUUUCAUCGCAUUGCUUUGUUUUGUGGCAUUUGUUUUAACAGUUGUCUUCUAUUUAUGGCUCGUGAUAUUGGCUUUCCACUUACGGCAGUGAUAAAAAAGCUUCUUUUUACAUUUUAUUUCUUUAGGUUUUUUAAAGGUGGCUGAUGGGAAGAGAAAUACUUAAGUAACACGAGUAGGGUGGAUAAGGACUGUGACUGUGAUGGCAUGACUUGAAGGAUGUGAGUUUAAGAAAUGUUCAUUGCAGGGGCGUGACACUGUUGCCAGCCACUGGGCUGAGUCCUGAGUUAGCAAAACCAGGCAUACAAACCCCUGUCCUGACAGAGCCGGCAGUAUAGCAAAGUCCAGAAGCUGGAACAACUCAGAGGAUGCUGAUGGGUCCAUGGUGGUUAGCAGUUUGGAGAAGCAGGAAGCAGGAAGCAGGAAGCAGGAAUGGCCAGCGCUGAGCCUAAAGCAGAGACAAAGAGCAGAAGCACAGCUCCAAAGAAUGGGCUGUGCUGCCAGCCCCUCCUGGUGGAGGCUGGUUUUGGAGGCUCCCUGUUGGAGGCUGUGCACAGUGGGACGCACCCCCCACUUUUAAAGCAGCCUCUGCACAGUGAUGCGGGGUCCCAGACCUUAAUUGGCACCCAGCGCUGCACAGCUGCCACCCCAUGCCAGGAGGUCAGGACUCCCUGGAGGUGCACCAGCUGCCUCUGAACUCACUUUCUGAGCCAUCAAAGUGUCAACAGUGUGGUGACAAGUGUACUUUAGUGUUUCAGUUCUUUGAAAAUUGGCCAUCUAUCUGUGGUCCUUCUACAGCCUGGUAGGAAAGGCUAGGGAACCUCCUGGGUAGGAAAGCCAGAAGCUGGCUGCCUGGCUGGCUGAUUUUGGAGGCUUUCUUUGUUCUUUCUUAAAAAAAAGAGAGAGAGAGAGAGAGAGAGAGAGAGAGAGAGAGAGAGAGAGAGACAGCCUUAUGUGUGCAAGUACCCACAGAGGCUAGAUGAGGGUGUCAGCUCUCCUGGAGCUGAAGUUACAGGUGGUUUAAGCCACUCAGCUCUCAAUCUACAAGCCAGCUCUUCAGCCCCUCCUUCCCUUUUGUUCUUUUGAGCUUUGGUCAGCUCUAAUCUGAAAUGGGAAUAACAUGUUGAAUGAGGUCACAGCAUUGGCUUGGCCCAUGCGACUGGCUAAUGAUAAAUGGCAUCUUGUUCUUCUAUGGCCUUAGCCUUGCCUUACCGGGAACACUUCCAUGUCCCUUCUCCAGGAAGGGGGCUCAGGAGAUAAACAGGAAGCACAGAAGUCCAUUCAUUCAUUCAUUCAUUCAUUCAUUCAUUCAUUCAUGCAAUAAGUCCUUCCUGCCCAGCUCUGUGCCAGGCACUAUUCCCAUCGAUGGGCACUAUGCAAGCCGAGAUGCGGUCAUCCGGAUAUGUCAGCAGACCAAUUGUGAGACUCCGCCAGUAACAGAGGACACUCAGGGAUCCAGUGACAGAAGAGAUGACACUGGGAUGUCCACAAAGAUUAGAGCCCGGGAAAACAUUCCGAAAUUCCCUACGGGAAGGCAGCUGUAGGAGAGAGGCAGUCUGGCUAAUGUAACAGGCCGACAUCAUCUCGGCUCCCGGUCUUGUGCGCGUGAUUCCUUCUGGUACUCUGUCCAGUCUUAUGAAGGGCUCUUGAUUCAGGUCUCACCCCACAGACAGUCCUCAGAAGCCUGUCUAUACAGCGUCCACAGAAGCCUGUCCAUACUGUGUCCACAGAAGCCUGCCCAUACAGCGUCCACAGAAGCCUGCCUAUACAGCGUCCACAGAAGCCUGUCCAUACAGUGUCCACAGAAGCCUGCCCAUACAGCGUCCACAGAAGCCUGCCCAUACAGCGUCCACAGAAGCCUGUCCAUACUGCGUCCACAGAAGCCUGUCUAUACAGCGUCCACAGAAGCCUGUCCAUACUGCGUCCACAGAAGCCUGUCUAUACAGCGUCCACAGAAGCCUGUCCAUACUGCGUCCACAGAAGCCUGUCUAUACAGCGUCCACAGAAGCCUGUCCAUACUGCGUCCACAGAAGCCUGUCUAUACAGCGUCCACAGAAGCCUGUCCAUACUGCGUCCACAGAAGCCUGUCUAUACAGCGUCCACAGAAGCCUGUCCAUACUGCGUCCACAGAAGCCUGUCUAUACAGCGUCCACAGAAGCCUGUCCAUACUGCGUCCACAGAAGCCUGUCUAUACAGCGUCCACAGAAGCCUGUCCAUACUGCGUCCACAGAAGCCUGUCUAUACAGCGUCCACAGAAGCCUGUCCAUACUGCGUCCACAGAAGCCUGUCUAUACAGCGUCCACAGAAGCCUGUCCAUACUGCGUCCACAGAAGCCUGUCUAUACAGCGUCCACAGAAGCCUGUCCAUACUGCGUCCACAGAAGCCUGUCUAUACAGCGUCCACAGAAGCCUGUCCAUACUGCGUCCACAGAAGCCUGUCUAUACAGCGUCCACAGAAGCCUGUCCAUACUGCGUCCACAGAAGCCUGUCUAUACAGCGUCCACAGAAGCCUGUCCAUACUGCGUCCACAGAAGCCUGUCUAUACAGCGUCCACAGAAGCCUGUCCAUACUGCGUCCACAGAAGCCUGUCCAUACAGCGUCCACAGAAGCCUGUCCAUACAGCAUCCACAGAAGCCUGUCCAUACAGCGUCCACAGAAGGCUGUCCAUACUGCUUUCCUGGGUGCUCAGAGCUGCUCCCAGGCACCUGCAGCUGAACAGCUAGCCUGGGGGCACAGGGUGGACUCUGGGUUCCUGGUACACAUCCUCCCACAGCCACCACAUGGUUCUUUCUAGAAUGAAUUCAAUUUGUCUAUGCCCCAUCUGCUGCCCCCUUCCACGGCGUCCCGUGACACCUGUAAUGAAGUGAAGUGUUAGCGUGGCUUUCGCGGGCCCAGAGGCUUAUCCCUUCCUCGUUUCCAACCUGGAGCUCCACUGCGCCUCCCGCUCAGCCGUGUUCCACAGCAGCCUGUGGUUCCUUCCUGUGUGGUUCCACCACAGGCCUCUUGCACUUACAGUAAUGACCCUGACUUCGGCUCCAUCCAAGUUACAAGCCCCCAGUUUUCAUCAUUACGAGGCAACAGCUGGACAGAUGGGUUAGGGUGCCAAUCAGACUGCAUGCCUUUGCUGGCUCCCCAUGGCUCUCGGGCUGAGCCCAGACUCUCCUUCUCCACCUCCAGAACUCUGGAGAUCUGGGUCCCCUGACAUCUCUCAAAUUCUGCCCCCACCCCCUCCCACCAGCUCCACACGCUCCACACGCUCCACCAAAGCCUGGCCUUGGCUUUCAUAACAGCCUGAGCUGGAUCCCCACAAGCUGAGCUGCCCUGCACUUGCUAUCUCCCCUCCCCCCUGGUGUUUUUCCCCAGGGUCUCUGUGUCCGCUGAAGCAGCAGACUUUCUCAAACGUUCCCUUCAUGCCAUCUUUCCACUUUCUCUCUCUCUUAUCUUCUUUACAAUCGAGAAUUCGUUUAUACUUCUCAUCCACCCUGUUGCCUGUCUCCACUGGAACACUGUUCCAAGAAGACAGACUCCACAGCCAGCACCAGGCGUGGCGUCAGGGGCAGGUGAUAAUGCAGGCUGAGUAACCCUUAUCAGAAAUACUUGGAACCACAAGUGUUUGAGAUUUUGGAAUUUCUUCUCCUAGUUUGGAUUAUUUGAACAGGUAUAAUGAGCUGUCUUGGGGUUAGACCCAAGACUAAACAUGGGAUUCAUUUACAUUUGCCUAUGCACCUGAUACACAGAGCCUGAAGGUAAUCUUAUGCCAUAUUUUAAAUAAUUUUGCACAUGAAACAAAGUUUCAUGGCACAGAAUUUUCACGGUGUGGUCAUGUUAGUGGGUGAAAAGUUUGGCAUUUGGGAGCAUUUCAGACUUCAUGCUCAGGCUGCUCAACCAGGACUUGAGUGAACAAAGAGAGUGAUGAACAGAUGGGUGGGUGUCGGCUUGGGAGAGAGGGUAGGUGGUGUGCUUGUGGCUGUGUGUAGCGGGAGUGGACAGGGCUCUGUUGGAGAUGUGACCCGCCCAAGAGUACACAGGUCGCCGAGGCAGCAGGCUGGGCUGAGCCCGUCUGCCUCCUCCCAUCUUCAUUCUCCUGCUUUUGUGUCUUUUCCUUUGUGAGUAAACAUGUUAUUCCUUUCAGACUAGAAAUUGACUUGAGAAUCUGACAGCUGAUAGCACCCCAGACUCCACUGCCACACUGUAGCCUCAGUGUGAUCUGCUCUGGUUGCUUAACUCACUUGACUUCUGACCCCCUUAAACUAGCCUUUAGAAGGCUGGCGAAACCCUGCCUGUCCUUGCGGUCCUGUCAGCAGGGUCACCUGCAUGGUUGCCAGAGCUGAGGGAUCUCCAUGAGUCCCUCUUGCCUGACAAGAUGCCAGGCACCUUUGCCCUCCCAGAAUCCCCCAGAGAGGAGAUCACUGGGGUCUGCCCCUCCAGCACGGGUCUUUGAGGGGAGAAGAGGAAUCUGGAGUUUUGAGGACUGUGUUUGAGCUGAGCUGCAUGGGGGGGGGGGGUGCUGUGAGGGUAGAAUCGGGCGUCCCCAGUGACAUCCUUGCACACGAGCAGGCGUCUGUGAACCUUGGUGCUGUCUGAAUGGUAGCACUAGAGAGGGAAGGGACCCUGCUGCGGCCUUGCCUGGCUCUGAUCACUGAGCACUAGACAGAAAGCGAGGAGCACUAGCAGGGAGGAGGAACUGAGUAGAGGGGAGGCCUGGCAUCAGGCCCCAGACCAUUCUACCAUGAGGCCCUCAGGGCAAAGGAGGCUCUUCCCCUCUUCCAGAAAGUUCCAUCUUGGUGAAAUCUGAUUGAAGAAAACAGCAAGUGUUUCAUAUCGUCCUUGAGUGAUGAGGGGUGGUGGGAGCACUCUGAAGAAGGGAGGCAACAGUACGACAACUCCCAUCUGGGAAAGCUACCUGGAGAGCUACGUCCACAUAUGUGCCUGCAUGUGGGGAGAGGACCACACACCACCACCCGGGGUCUCCCCAUGAGAGCCUGCGGUUGGGCAGAUCCCUUCCUCCUCCUCUCCUUCUCCUGCUCUUCCUCUCCCUCCUCCUCUCCCUCCUGCUCUCCCUCUUCCUCUUCCUCUUCUCCUUCUGCUCUUUCUCUAAUUCCCCCUCUUCUAACAUGAAACAAAGUAUUCCAGUUAAGUAUGUAAAAUUAAAAAUUAAUUUUAAAAGAUA
Molecule: non-coding RNA, 7793 nt
Organism: Cricetulus griseus (Chinese hamster)
Lineage: Eukaryota; Metazoa; Chordata; Mammalia; Rodentia; Cricetidae
Source: RefSeq, a predicted model, not a curated record